RNAcentral lists this ribosomal RNA (463 nucleotides) under uncultured bacterium. Its description in RNAcentral is "bacterial SSU rRNA". It matches the Rfam family "Bacterial small subunit ribosomal RNA", at positions 33 to 507 of the family's 1533-position model. The record is from RNAcentral.
GACACGCUGGCGGCGUGCUUAACACAUGCAAGUCGAACGGUGACGAGGAGCUUGCUCCUCUGAUCAGUGGCGAACGGGUGAGUAACACGUGAGCAACCUGCCCCAGACUCUGGGAUAACAGUUGGAAACAGCUGCUAAUACCGGAUACGAGACGGAGAGGCAUCUCUACCGUCUGGAAAGUUUUCGGUCUGGGAUGGACUCGCGGCCUAUCAGCUAGUUGGUGAGGUAAUGGCUCACCAAGGCGACGACGGGUAGCCGGCCUGAGAGGGCGACCGGCCACACUGGGACUGAGACACGGCCCAGACUCCUACGGGAGGCAGCAGUGGGGAAUAUUGCACAAUGGGCGAAAGCCUGAUGCAGCGACGCCGCGUGAGGGAUGACGGCCUUCGGGUUGUAAACCUCUUUCAGCAGGGAAGAAGCGAAAGUGACGGUACCUGCAGAAGAAGCACCGGCUAACUACGUG